Molecule: unclassified non-coding RNA, 391 nt
Filed under: soil metagenome
Description: partial contains 5.8S ribosomal RNA, internal transcribed spacer 2, and large subunit ribosomal RNA
Rfam family: 5.8S ribosomal RNA (bases 1-122)
Source: RNAcentral
GAUGAAGAACGCAGCGAAAUGCGAUACUUGGUGUGAAUUGCAGAAUCCCGUGAACCAUCGAGUCUUUGAACGCAAGUUGCGCCCGAAGCCAUUAGGCCGAGGGCACGCCUGCCUGGGCGUCACACGCCGUUGCCCCCCCAUCUACUCCUUCGGGAUUGCGGGGGGCGGAUGAUGGCUUCCCGUGCGCCUCGUCGCGCGGUUGGCAUAAAUGCCAAGUCCUCGGCGACGCACGCCACGACAAUCGGUGGUUGCGAAACCUCGGUUGCCCGUCGUGUGCGGUCGUCGCGCAUCGAGGGCUCGAAAAAAUUGCCGGGCUCCGGCUCGGCUUUCAACGCGACCCCAGGUCAGGCGGGGUUACCCGCUGAAUUUAAGCAUAUCAAUAAGCGGAGGA